AUGAACGCUGACAGAAUGCUUAACACAUGCAAGUCUACUUGGACUUCGGUUUGGGUGGCGGACGGGUGAGUAACGCGUAAAGAACUUGCCUCACAGUUAGGGACAACAUUUGGAAACGAAUGCUAAUACCUGAUAUUAUGAUUUUAGGGCAUCCUAGGAUUAUGAAAGCUAUAUGUGCUGUGAGAGAGCUUUGCGUCCCAUUAGCUAGUUGGAGAGGUAACGGCUCACCAAGGCGAUGAUGGGUAGCCGGCCUGAGAGGGUGAACGGCCACAAGGGGACUGAGACACGGCCCUUACUCCUACGGGAGGCAGCAGUGGGGAAUAUUGGACAAUGGACCAAAAGUCUGAUCCAGCAAUUCUGUGUGCACGAUGACGUUUUUCGGAAUGUAAAGUGCUUUCAGUUGGGAAGAAAAAAAUGACGGUACCAACAGAAGAAGUGACGGCUAAAUACGUG
This 453-nucleotide ribosomal RNA is filed under the name uncultured bacterium. RNAcentral's name for it is "partial 16S ribosomal RNA". It matches the Rfam family "Bacterial small subunit ribosomal RNA", at positions 29 to 507 of the family's 1533-position model. The record is from RNAcentral.